This 492-nucleotide ribosomal RNA is filed under the name uncultured bacterium. RNAcentral's name for it is "partial 16S ribosomal RNA". It matches the Rfam family "Bacterial small subunit ribosomal RNA", at positions 29 to 507 of the family's 1533-position model. The record is from RNAcentral.
AGUGAACGCUGGCGGUAGGCCUAACACAUGCAAGUCGAACGGCAGCACAGUAAGAGCUUGCUCUUACGGGUGGCGAGUGGCGGACGGGUGAGGAAUACAUCGGAAUCUACUUUUUCGUGGGGGAUAACGUAGGGAAACUUACGCUAAUACCGCAUACGACCUACGGGUGAAAGCAGGGGAUCUUCGGACCUUGCGCGAUUGAAUGAGCCGAUGUCGGAUUAGCUAGUUGGCGGGGUAAAGGCCCACCAAGGCGACGAUCCGUAGCUGGUCUGAGAGGAUGAUCAGCCACACUGGAACUGAGACACGGUCCAGACUCCUACGGGAGGCAGCAGUGGGGAAUAUUGGACAGAGGGCGCAAGCCUGAUCCAGCCAUACCGCGUGGGUGAAGAAGGCCUUCGGGUUGUAAAGCCCUUUUGUUGGGAAGGAAAAGCAGCAGGUUAAUACCCCGCUGUUCUGACGGUACCCAAAGAAUAAGCACCGGCUAACUUCGUG